UACGGUGAAUACGUUCCCGGACCUUGUACACACCGCCCGUCAAGCCAUGGAAGCUGGGUGUACCUAAAGUCGGUAACCGUAAGGAGCCGCCUAGGGUAAAACUAGUGACUGGGGCU
Molecule: ribosomal RNA, 116 nt
Filed under: uncultured bacterium
Lineage: Bacteria
Description: partial 16S ribosomal RNA
Rfam family: Bacterial small subunit ribosomal RNA
Source: RNAcentral